Molecule: small RNA, 18 nt
Filed under: Arabidopsis thaliana (thale cress)
Lineage: Eukaryota; Viridiplantae; Streptophyta; Magnoliopsida; Brassicales; Brassicaceae
Description: Ath_wt_06599
Source: RNAcentral
UACCCGGCCGUCGGGGCA